UAUCGCAUUGUAACGUAUUCGUAUUUUGGUGACACUUCAGUGUAAUAGAUAGAAAACAAUUACCAGAACAAUUUCAACAGCACCGAUGAUAUACAUAGCAGCAGCUAGUGUAGUACCCGUAUAGAAGAGCAUUCCUACGGCACCACCGAAUUCUGGACCCAAACUUCUGGAUAUCAUGAAGUAAGACCCUCCAGCUGGUACAACGCCAUUAGUCGCGAUGGCACUCAUACUGAUAGCUGUCAGCAUCGUCUAUGUAUACAGAGAAAUUUUUUUUGCUUAGAGUAAUCAAGCUCGGCCAUAAACGACUCAAUUUAUUAAUCACGAGAUUAAUUCGUGUCGCCAUUAAUCUCUACACCCAUCCAAUCAAUAUUGAUUGGAUCAAUUCAUAUCCAUUAUAUUGAAACUUCACUUACCACGCAACAACAACAUAACACGAUGAAGAAUCCCUGAAAAGCUCCAGCGGUGCCAACGACCCAGGUCAAACGAAUGAAUAGAAUCACGCCAAAGAUGUUUUGGAUGCAAGGUAGGAA
This 530-nucleotide long non-coding RNA is filed under the name Apis mellifera (honey bee). RNAcentral describes it as "uncharacterized LOC102654490". Lineage: Eukaryota; Metazoa; Arthropoda; Insecta; Hymenoptera; Apidae. The record is from RNAcentral.